CUCAAUCUAAAUGCUUUCCAGGCCAUGGUGCUCUGAAGGGACCUUUCUCAGAAAAUGCCUUUUUACAGUGACAGCAACCACUUUAAAAUACAGUGAGAGUGGCUGAAGUGAAGUAACACUUGAUUCCAAAGUGAUGAAAUGCUUUUGAUUCCCAAUGGAAUUUGCAUUAUAUAAUCUAUUAAAGAACAACAACACCAUAAAUCCCCCAUCUAUAUUCCUGACUCGCUAGCCCCACUCAUUAGGGAAGAGUAUUUCUAAAGCUAACUAUUUUUUUUUUUCAUUACUUGGGUUUCUUCUGUUGUCACAAGGAAUCUGCAGACUUAAACUGAUUUUUAUUUUAACCUAAAAUAAGUUCCCAUUGCCAAAUGGACAGACAUAAUCAUGACUCAGUACCCACCCUCAAGGAAGAUUGUGCCAUGUGCCAAAGUGAAAGGCUGAAGGCCACAGGAAGACAGGAAGGCCAAGGAGAAUGUGCAAAAGAGAAAGGCAUGCCACUGCUCUGCCUCUGGCCCUGCUGCCCCGGGGUCCACACCUUCCUCUCUGUCCUUGCCACGGUGCAGACUGUGAUUAGAAGGUCUAGGGGACAUAUGUACUGCUAUUUGUAAUACCUUAAACAAUAAAAUUUUAAAAA
Myotis brandtii (Brandt's bat) is the source of this 631-nucleotide long non-coding RNA. RefSeq lists it as uncharacterized. The record is from RefSeq and is a predicted model, not a curated record. The transcript has 2 exons. NCBI's taxonomy places the organism in Eukaryota, Metazoa, Chordata, Mammalia, Chiroptera, Vespertilionidae.